Molecule: small nuclear RNA, 102 nt
Organism: Molossus molossus (Pallas's mastiff bat)
Lineage: Eukaryota; Metazoa; Chordata; Mammalia; Chiroptera; Molossidae
Source: RefSeq, a predicted model, not a curated record
AUUCCCUUCAGCGGCACAUACACUAAAAUUGGAACACACAGAAGAUUAGCAUGGCCCUUGCACAAGGAUGACACACAAAUUCGUAAAGUGUUCCAUUUUUUU